RNAcentral lists this ribosomal RNA (236 nucleotides) under uncultured bacterium. RNAcentral describes it as "partial 16S ribosomal RNA". It matches the Rfam family "Bacterial small subunit ribosomal RNA", at positions 100 to 334 of the family's 1533-position model. The record is from RNAcentral.
CGGCACGGGUGAGUAACACGUAUCCAACCUGCCGUCUACUCUUGGACAGCCUUCUGAAAGGAAGAUUAAUACAAGAUGGCAUCAUGAGUUCACAUGUUCACAUGAUUAAAGGUACUCCGGUAGACGAUGGGGAUGCGUUCCAUUAGAUAGUAGGCGGGGUAACGGCCCACCUAGUCUUCGAUGGAUAGGGGUUCUGAGAGGAAGGUCCCCCACAUUGGAACUGAGACACGGUCCAA